This 205-nucleotide ribosomal RNA is filed under the name uncultured bacterium. RNAcentral describes it as "partial 16S ribosomal RNA". It matches the Rfam family "Bacterial small subunit ribosomal RNA", at positions 568 to 774 of the family's 1533-position model. The record is from RNAcentral.
CACGCAGGUGGCUGAGUCAGUCGAUUGUGAAAGCCCUGGGCUUAACCUGGGAAUUGCAGUCGGUACUACUCAGCUAGAGUAUGGGAGAGGGUAGUGGAAUUCCCGGUGUAGCGGUGAAAUGCGUAGAUAUCGGGAGGAACAUCAGUGGCGAAGGCGGCUACCUGGCCCAAUACUGACACUCAGGUGCGACAGCUGGGAGCAAACA